UACGAAGGGUGCAAGCGUUACUCGGAAUUACUGGGCGUAAAGCGUGCGUAGGUGGUUUGUUAAGUCUGAUGUGAAAGCCCUGGGCUCAACCUGGGAAUUGCAUUGGAUACUGGCAGGCUAGAGUGCGGUAGAGGAUGGCGGAAUUCCCGGUGUAGCAGUGAAAUGCGUAGAGAUCGGGAGGAACAUCUGUGGCGAAGGCGGCCAUCUGGACCAGCACUGACACUGAGGCACGAAAGCUAGGGGAGCAAACAGG
This 253-nucleotide ribosomal RNA is filed under the name uncultured bacterium. RNAcentral describes it as "partial 16S ribosomal RNA". It matches the Rfam family "Bacterial small subunit ribosomal RNA", at positions 524 to 776 of the family's 1533-position model. The record is from RNAcentral.